RNAcentral lists this ribosomal RNA (476 nucleotides) under uncultured bacterium. RNAcentral's name for it is "bacterial SSU rRNA". It matches the Rfam family "Bacterial small subunit ribosomal RNA", at positions 28 to 500 of the family's 1533-position model. The record is from RNAcentral.
GAUGAACGCUAGCGGCAGGCUUAACACAUGCAAGUCGAGGGGCAUCACGGGUAGCAAUACCUGGUGGCGACCGGCGCAAGGGUGCGUAACGCGUGAGCAACAUGCCCUAUACAGGGGGAUAAUCCAGGGAAACUUGGUCUAAUAUCCCAUAGCAUUUAGAGGUGGCAUCACCAUUAAAUUAAAGCUUCGGUGGUAUAGGAUUGGCUCGCGUGACAUUAGCUAGAUGGUGGGGUAACGGCUCACCAUGGCUAUGAUGUCUAGGGGUUCUGAGAGGAAGACCCCCCACACUGGGACUGAGACACGGCCCAGACUCCUACGGGAGGCAGCAGUGAGGAAUAUUGGACAAUGGAUGGAAAUCUGAUCCAGCCAUGCCGCGUGCAGGAAGACGGCCCUAUGGGUUGUAAACUGCUUUAUAUGGGAGCAAUAAGGUCUACGAGUAGACCGAUGAGAGUACCAUAUGAAUAAGCAUCGGCUAA